UACGUAGGGUGCGAGCGUUAAUCGGAAUUACUGGGCGUAAAGCGCACGUAGGCGGCGAUUUAAGUCAGAGGUGAAAGCCCGGGGGCUCAACCCCGGACUAGCCUUUCGUAGACUGGAGUUGUCUAGAAUCUUGGAGGAGGCGAGUGGAAUUCCGAGUGUAGAGGUGAAAUUACGUAGAUAUUCGGAAGAACACCAGUGGCGAAGGCGGCUCGCUGGACAAGUAUUGACGCUGAGGUGCGAAAGCGUGGGGAGCAAACAGGAUUAGAUACCCCGGUAGU
RNAcentral lists this ribosomal RNA (278 nucleotides) under uncultured bacterium. RNAcentral's name for it is "partial 16S ribosomal RNA". It matches the Rfam family "Bacterial small subunit ribosomal RNA", at positions 524 to 794 of the family's 1533-position model. The record is from RNAcentral.